AGAUCUCAUAAGGCUAACGAAACCAGGAAUCCGCUAUUUUAUUACCUCAAAGAUUGGUCAUUGUGAGGCUGGGCUUAAGCUUCGAGUUGUGGUGCGACCACUAUCCAAAAGUGUUCCGAAGAAGAUGCAGUUUUCACCUUUCGACCGUCUCAUCAAGUGGCUACACGAUUCCUUCACACCCCACCCCCAUCACUAAGAUUUCGUUUCUUUUUUUGUUUUGUUUUGUUUGAGCUUAGCUUCGUAGUAUUUUUUUUUCUCACUCGUUUUUGUUCUUUAUUUUAUUUUCCAAAUAGUGUGGGUUUCUACUUAUUCCUAUCGUUGUGGAGAGACUUAAUUCAAUAAAAAUAAUUUUCCUUAACCCUAGCUGUAUACACAUAAUAGACUCAAUCACUCCACCUCCAUGGAAAAUAAAGAAAUUGAACAAAGACGAGAGAAAACAAAAACAAUACGGAAAUAUCCUAGAAUAGCACUAAAAAGUUUAUGUCACAAAUAUAGAUUCUAAUGAACAAAAUGACCAAAAUAUUUUAUUAAAGAGAUAAAUAUACGUUUAUAUUCUAGGGUUAACUAAUCCAAAUUUGAAGGCUUAGAGUUAAGGGGUAGAAAUUUGGGAUUGAGAUUUAAAAUUUUAUAAAAUAAAAAAAAAAUUUAAAAAUAGUUUCAAAAAAUAUUUUCGAAUAACAAAAAACAAAUAAAAAAAUUUAAAAACAUUUUCGAAAACAAUUUUAUAAAUAAGUUCGAAUUUAAAAACAUAUAAUCUAAAACAAUAAAAAUUAUUUUUUUACUUUUUUUAAAUUUUUAAUUUUUUUAAAUAUCUAGGGUAUUAAGGUCAUUUUACCUAUUAAAUGAAAUAUUUGAUCAUUUUUCUCCUUGUGGUCUAUUUUUGUGAUCAAAACUUGAAAAUUGUCUAUUUAGGAGAAUUAUCCAAAACAAUAUCCUAAUGAAUUAGUCAAAGAAUUAAAAUAAAAGUAUAUCAGGCGUUUCAUAUAAUAUGGCACAUUUUUAAAAGUCUAAUUAUAUGAAACAAAGAAAUAACCAACACACAUUAACACGGAGUUCUGAUUGGGUUUUACUCUUUUUUUGCUAAAUUAUAAACUCUUUUUUUUUUCCUUUACACCUCUAGAUCAUUCAUAAGUAUAUUGGAUUAACCGAGUAAACAAAUGUUAGCAAUCAGAUUUUGACUUACCAAAUUUGUAAGUCUUUUUAAAACCAAAGAUAAUGAUUUUAUUUUACAAAUGUUCCUAUAUGAAUUGGUACCAUUUACUUUUUUUUCUUCUAAGAUUAGUAGACUGCAUAUGAAAUCUACAUUUAAUUUAUUUUUAGUCAGUCUUUUACAUUUUAGCAAACACAAAAGUAACCUAUUCAACGAAGUCAAAGUUUUGGUCAAAUGAAAAUCUUGCAUUUUAUAGACUUCUCGGGAAAUUUACAUAAUGUAGACUUCCGAUGAAGUCUACUAUAAAAGUCAAAAUUUUGGUCAAAUAAAAAAUUAACCUAUUUUACGUAGACUUCUUAGUAAGUUUACCCUUUUUUUUUGUUUUCAAAUAUAAAGACGUAGACUUCUAGGAAAGUCUGUGUUACAAAAGAAAAAGUUUGGUCUAUUGGAAAACUAAUGUGUGUGUGACAAGUAGACCACAUCGUAAGUCUAUACAUAUGCGUAGAGAUACAAACAGUCUACUAUUGUGACACAUAUCUGAAAAAUUACGAAAACCAUGUAAAAACUUUUUUCCGGUGUAAAGCUUGUUUUCAAUCUUUUCGACCAUCCAAACUCCAAAUAUGAACAAAAAGAAGCACAUUUGACGGUUCUUUAUUAAAAAAACUCGAAAAAUAUAAAGUUUGUGUUUAUGAAAAUGAAAGUUAUAAUAGUUUUUAGAUGAAUACUAUUACACAAUUAUGAUUCUUAUCAAUGCAUUUUAAAUCUAAUUCUUUAACUAGCUAAAUUAACUAAACAAUGAAACAAUUAAUAACAAUGUAAAAGAACAAUUAUAAACGUAUGGUAAUGACAUUGAGUUUUCUGAAAACAAUAAGAGGAAUUCCUUUGAAAUCGGAGACUGUUCAUAUGAAGUAUACAACAUAGUAGACUUUCGUUUCAAUCUACUUAUGUAGACUGUUAUAGACGUCUAAUCUUUGGGUUAGUUUUUGCAAUGACAAAAUUCGCGAAUUGUUUUUUGGAAUGACGUCUAAUCUUUGGGUUAUUUGAAAAAAAUUGUGAUUUAUACAAGUAGACUUUAUAGGUAGUCUACUUCAUAGACAGUCUUCAUUUUAAAAACGGUUAGUUUUGCAAUUUCUAGAAUUCACCCAGUAUUUGACUCUCAAUAGUAGAUUUCAUAUGCAGUCUACAUUUAAAAAUUUAAAAAAAGUUCAGUUUUGCAAUUGACCAAAUUUGACUUUCGACGAGUAUAUUUCAAUGGAAGUCUAUCAAGUUUACUUUCCAAUUUGACGGCUUAUUUUUGUGUUUGACUAAAAUAAAAUAAUAGACUUCAUAUACAAUAUACAGUUUUUCCUAAGAAUAGUAGAAACAUUUAUUAAUUUUUGGUCAAAUUUUUAACAUUUUAAUCAAAAACAAAACAUGUUUUUGUAGAGUAGACUUCAUAAGAAGUCUAAUAAAAGAGUCAAAGUUUUCGUUAAAUGCAAGAUUGACCUCUUGCAGAUUUCCACUACAGCCUGCUUGAUGCAGACUUUCGUUGAAGUCAACUAUUAAAAGUCAAAAGUUCGGUCAAAUGCAAAUCUAACCUUUUAGUUUUUCGUAAGUCUGCCAAAAACACAUUUUGUUCUCAAAGAUAAAGACGUAAAUUUCUAGUGAAGCUUGCGUCACAAACAAUAUAAAUUUUGUCAAUUGCAAAACUAAUAUAUUCGUUGAAAAUUAGAUCGCAUAAUAAGUCUACACAUAUACGUAGACAUACAAAAUAGUCUACUAUCGUGAGAUCUGAAUAUUGACGAAAACUGUUUAAAUAGUUACCCUUUUCGGUGUAAGCUCGUUUCCAACCUUUUCCACCGUCCAAACUCCAAAUUUGAGCAAAAGAAGUUGUUUUCACCAUUCUUUACUGAAGAAUCCCGAAAUAUGAAAUUUGUGUCUAUGAAAAAGAAAGUUAUGAGAGUUUUUGGAUGAAAGCGGAGAGGAUAUGAGAGGAAAUAAAGAUUUGUUGGUGUAGAAUGAGAAAAAAGUAGAUAGAAAAUGAAUGCUUGAACUUUAAGACCUCAAACAUGGUUGUUCAUGGUGGUUGAAAAAAUUGAUAAGAGUGUCAUUGUUGUAAAUAAGAAGAAAUGUUUAGAGUUUUUCGGGUUUUUUUCGAAAAUAAAAGGAAUUAAAUUAUAAUAGAAUUUUUGUAAAUAUUGAGAAAAGUCAAGGAGGGCAUGGGAAUGUUGUGGUAAAAUAUUGUUGACAUAAAAAUGGGGUUAGUUUUGUAUUUGACUUCAAUUUUGGGUCAUUUUUGUAAAAUCAUCUUAUUUUUAAAUCUAAUCAUAUAACUUUUAAUCAUAAAUUGAAUAAAAUAUCCUUAUAUAUAUAUAUAUAUAUAUAUAUAUAUAUAUAUAUGAAUGAAUGUACGCGUCCAACACGUACCCGCUUCCUAAUUUUUUUUAAAAAAAUUGCUUUUGAGCUUCCAUACAUUCUGAUUUCGCGUAACCGCUCGAUUCCGCGUACCCGCUCGAUUCCGCGUACCCGCUUUCGAUUCCAUGUAAUUCUUGAAAACACCCUUGAAAACACGGCCAAGACUCUAAAGCAUGUAUUGCAUAACUUACAACUAUCUAAGAAUUAGCUAACCUAAUAAACCAAAACUUUGAAUAAUUACAAAGUAUAUAUAUAUAGCCAGAGUAAUGAAAUUUUGCAAUAUCUUCGCCGUACUCACUUGAAUAUAAGCAUGCAUUCAAUUGGUGAACCAAUCAUGAGAAUGGAACAAAGUUUAGUAAAUAUAGUACAAUGUUGACACCGAAAUUGGAUCGCUAAUGACUAUCAUUCAUUGCUUUCCCAUUUACUGCGAUCAUCAUAAUCUUCAGCUAUAUAAAAGUAUGUUUUGCCCCAUGAAGUUCAUCCGUUCUUUCUUCUCAUUCAUAAGCUUUUUAAGAAAUAUACCUUUGAAAAUGGCUAACUCCUCUGUCCUCCUUGCCGAUUGAAGGCUGGCGGUUGUCCCUCCACCGUCGAUGUCCGCCUCCUUAGUUUUUGGGAAAUCAGGAAUGUGAAUUGCGGCGGCGAGCUGAUGGGGUUGACAUGCUCCUCCUUGAAGCUCAGAUAAAUCCACCAUCAAAAUCAUUAUGUAUUUGGGAGAUGAUAAUUGUUUUGUUUGUUGAUUCUGUUUCAUGUAUUGAUUAUUAUACUUUUAAACCUAACUUUUCUUUUAAUGGAGAUCCAUUUGUUCAUGUCUUCGUUAUAAAAAAAAACAAAUUCCAUAAGCUUCUGUUAUCUUAAAAUAAUUGGACAAUGAUUAUUGUUUUGUCUGUUGAUUCUGUUUCGCUUUAUUUGUAAUUUGUAAAUUCAUUAUCAAGCUUUUAAUCCAAACAUUCAGUUUAAGUGGGAUCCUUUGUAUAUUUCUUGAUUAUCAGAAAAUCUUCCCCGAAGUUUAUUAAUAUAGUUGAUGAUGAAAUUGGCAAUCUUUAUAUGUCUUAAAACAUUAUUUUGAGGAGUUAGAGGAAGAGUCCCCAAAGGACAACUCCAUCGUAGUGGUAUGUUACUUCUGCCACACCUCUUAUACUAUAACAUUUCAAGAAAUGUUUUUUAUAAUGCUGAAAUUGAUUUAUCUUGAUGGCAGUAUGUGUUACUUGACGAGCUUCGCCGUAACCAACGAAGUUGAAAACACUGACUCUGACCAGACGUUAGGGUGACGACCAUUCGCAUUGACAAGAAGGCUUUCACCGUCAAAUAAACACCAGUCAUUGACUUACCGAUAGAUAUUGAAGCUGAGAUGAGAAGAUGAAUGCUUGAACUUAGGCAAACCAUGGACAUGUACAGCUCAGCGUCGAAAGAAGCACUUAAUACAAAAGAGCGGUUAGAAAUAUAGGUGUCAAGCAGGGAUAGUUGAUGAUGAGCAAGCUGCUCCGUCUAAAACUUUAUGACUCCCAUGUUUCUCUUGAAAAAUUAGCAUAAGCUGUGGAGAAUGUAAGAAGCUUGAAUAUUUGAGGAAGCUAGAAGUGCUGAAGCGACAGUCCUGGCUAUAUUCCAAAGAUGGAGAAGGCCAAGUCUAGAGCUACAAUGGAAGCAAGUGAGAAAGCGCAGAUGAUGGUGGAACUAGAAGGAAGCAAGCUGAAAUGAAAAAAGAAGAAGGAAAUCGCAAAAGAAAUACGGUUGUUUAAUUCUUUCGUACAUAACGAUGUCUGGUACAAAAGAUAAACUUGAUCACAACCCUACUGCCAUUAGUCUUGAAACCAGAUGCUGCUCAAGACAUCCUCACAUGGUUCUUCGCUUUCGUAUGUGUCCUGCAUAUGGUUAUUUGGUGUAUGAGUUCAUAGAAAAUGGAAAAUGGGAGCUUAGAGGAAAGGCUUUCAAAAUAAAUUACUUUACCUGAAAUACACGAUACAAUUACAAAUCAUUAAAAUAAUAUCAGAUAAAACUCACAUAACGUAAAAGAUUUUCCAUAACAUAUCUUCUCGACAAAUGACACCUGCUAACCUAAUAAAAUAAUCAGAACGUUGACACAUUUGAAAAGAAAUUCUUCCAAGCACACCUCUAAUUUAGUAUAUAAACAAUUAGAUCUAAUGACAAAUACUAAAAAUAAUGUUAUACUAUUAAUAAAGCUGAAUCCUUUAUUUUCCUGAGGAAAUUUCAUCAAGAGAAGUUGUCUAAAAAUUUAACACUAUAAUUUGUAGAAGUUUAUUAAGUAUUCCACAUUAAACCAAAUUUAUAGAUAAAAUAUAUAAUUAUCCAAAAAAAAUUGAUCAAUUUUUAAAAAAUCUAACAGAACAUUUGAGAUCAAUCUAAAAUAAUAUUUUGGCACAUAAUUAAUCCGAGAUUUUUGUACAAAAAUCUUAUUUUACUUAUUAUCAAAACUAUUACUGCAGUAGAAUAAACAAAAAAAUAUGUAAAACUAUUAUGUAUUCAUAAUCAUUUCUUAAAUAUUAAGAUAAACAUAAUAUAUUAUAAGAAUAACGAAACAUACACAAUGAAAACUAAUAUUACAUUAAAUUAAAGUAAGCUAAACAUUUUGAAAUAUUCGUUAACAUUAAUUAUAUAUUUACUGAACAUUUUGAAAUAUUAGUUGUUUAAAAUUUAUAUUUGCAAAAGAGGUGAAUCUAAGUUGAAAAAGGAUUUUUUUUUUUUUUUGUCAUCAAGUUGAAAAAGGAAUUAAAAAAGGAAAUAUAUUCAAAAAUAACAAAUUCAGCUUAAUGAAAAUCAAACACAAGCCUAAUUAGAAAAUGAUCCGAGAGAUCUUUGAAAAAAAGAAAAAGAAAACAUACAUAUCAUAACACAAACGGGAUUAUAAUUAAAUAAAGUGGUAAGUAAAAUCCUUAAGCUGUAAGAAUUAGGUUCCGUAAAAGGUGUUAUAAAAAGAGAGUUAGGGUCUUGUUUUUUCUUACUCAAAUACUCAUCAUCAAAGUUCUCUGAUAAUUCUAUUAAUAAUGGCGACAACCACAAGAAUGUUCUGCUUCGUGCUCGUGAUGGAUCUAAUGGGAUGUUGUUGCUCGGCAAAAAUCUACAAAGUGGGAGACUCGAAGGGAUGGACGACAGCGAAGCACGGUAGCUAUUAUGAAUGGGCCAAGCGUAAGGAAUUCCAAGUGGGGGAUUCUCUGAUGUUUGAAUACGAUGGCAACGUCAACGACGUCACUCAAGUUUCCACUCGUUUGGAAUACCAAUUCUGCAACUCCCUUUCUCCUAAAGCUGUCUACAACACAGGGCACGAUCUCGUGACUCUCACGGAACAAGGUUAUCACUUCUUCAUCACCUCAAAUCGUUCUCAAUGCGUAGCCGGACAGAAACUCGUCGUUUUUGUCGUCCAUGACCAUCCUAUGAUUCCUCCACCACCGAGAAAGAUCCUUCCAUUUGGAAAAGAUUACAAGGUCGGUGACUCCAACGAAUGGACGGUUCCUGAAGAGAGUGACUUCUAUUCCAAGUGGAGUGAGGAGAAACAGUUUCAUGUGGGAGACAAUCUUCUUUUCUACUACAACGACCAAGUCGAUGACGUCCUAGAAAUCAACAGUGAUCUUGAGUUUAAAUUUUGCGACACUACUUCUCCUGUUGCCGUGCACAAUGCGGGACAAGAUCUCAUAAGGCUAACGAAACCAGGAAUCCGCUAUUUUAUUACCUCAAAGAUUGGUCAUUGUGAGGCUGGGCUUAAGGUUCGAGUUGUGGUGCGACCACUAUCCAAAAGUGUUCCGAAGAAGAUGCAGUUGUCACCUUUCGACCGUCUCAUCAAGUGGCUACACGAUUCCUUCACACCCCACCCCCAUCACUAAGAUUUCGUUUCUUUUUUUU
Molecule: long non-coding RNA, 7396 nt
Filed under: Brassica rapa (field mustard)
Lineage: Eukaryota; Viridiplantae; Streptophyta; Magnoliopsida; Brassicales; Brassicaceae
Description: long non-coding RNA (BRAP_LNC002705)
Source: RNAcentral